This 500-nucleotide ribosomal RNA is filed under the name Rhizobium sp. FRP005. RNAcentral's name for it is "bacterial SSU rRNA". The stretch from base 15 to 288 matches the Rfam family "Bacterial small subunit ribosomal RNA", at positions 943 to 1219 of the family's 1533-position model. Lineage: Bacteria; Pseudomonadati; Pseudomonadota; Alphaproteobacteria; Hyphomicrobiales; Rhizobiaceae. The record is from RNAcentral.
GGCACGGGGACUGUGGUUAUUCGAACACGCGCAGAACCUUACCAGCCCUUGACAUCCCGAUCGCGGACAGUGGAGACAUUGUCCUUCAGUUAGGCUGGAUCGGAGACAGGUGCUGCAUGGCUGUCGUCAGCUCGUGUCGUGAGAUGUUGGGUUAAGUCCCGCAACGAGCGCAACCCUCGCCCUUAGUUGCCAGCAUUAGGUUGGGCACUCUAAGGGGACUGCCUGUGAUAAGCCGAGAGGAAGGUGGGGACGACUUCUAUCCUCAAGGCCCUUACGUCUGGGCGACACCGUGCAAUUCAGGCGGUUACAGUGGGAUUUCGAUUACAAUUACUAUGUAUUUACCAAAACAAUUUUCCGGAAUUGCGUUCUUUGUAACCCAUCUACAAAAUCGAAAUCCACACACUUUCGAUUUUAAAAUUUUAACUUUAAAAUAUACCACAGAAUAUAUAUCUCAUAUAAAAAAAAAUUUACUCAAAUCUAUAAAUCUGACCUCUCAUAAC